UCACCCGAGUGUCAGUGAAGAAAAGUGCGCGAUGGAAUUAAAUUCUGUGAAAAAUGACAAAAGAGUAGUUUUCUAAGUGAAUCCACAAAGGAUAUUUGUAAAGAAGUGAGUGUGUCAUGAAAGCAAUGUUCUUAUUAUCGUUAGGAGGUACUGAUACAAUUUCCUUGCUCGAGCAAUUAUAUUAUCCAAUGAUUUGGGCGAUGUUCUACAUAGAUUUGCUGCAAAAUCGGAGUAUAUCACAGGUUGUACUGGUGGUCCAGGUGGUUCACAUUUGAACACCGCACAACAUGAGUCCGUGAAGCGAGUAAUUCAUCAAAUUUGGACAUACUCAUAAUUGAUCCUUCCAUAGAUAUUCAAACCGAAGAGGACUCAGAACUAACUAGUGUUUUCUCCAAAAUGUUUGGAAAUCCAGGAAAAAUAAUCGAAUGUAUGGAAAAUAUAUGCCACUUGGUAUUAGACUUCUAGAAUUUCACCGAAAGAGCAUUAUCUAAGGGAAACUCCAGAAUGUAAAAGGAAAAUCUCAGAGUGUAUUAAAAAAAAUUGCGGAAUGUAACAAAUUAUACACAACUUUGGAUGUAAGAAAAUGCUCAUUGAAUAUUACAAAAUUCUAGGUUAGAUUUGCUAUGUUCGAAGUUUCAUGAUUUUCUAAUUUCCAAUUUGCAUUUCCAUGACAUAAAUAACUUAUUAAGUAUAAGAAGAGAUUAUAAUAUUAGAAAUAGAGUUAUGCCCAAGACUCCUUAACAAAUAAUUUUAAAAAUAUAUUUACAAAAAAAAGUUAUUGUGCAAUGAGUAUUACAUUUUUAAUCAAUCAACUGAAGUGUAAUAAUCAGAUGGAGAUAUAAUCAAACAGCCAAUAAAAUCAUAAGGCA
This is a long non-coding RNA of Phlebotomus papatasi, 869 nucleotides long. RefSeq lists it as uncharacterized. The transcript has 3 exons. NCBI's taxonomy places the organism in Eukaryota, Metazoa, Arthropoda, Insecta, Diptera, Psychodidae. The record is from RefSeq and is a predicted model, not a curated record.